AUGUGUUUUAGUAGGAAUUAUAACUCCGUUGAUGUCUCAACUCACCUGAGGAGUAUGAAUGACACAGUCCCAGGUACAUGGGACUGGACCACAUCAGAGAGGUGCAUCCAUGGGGCGCGAUUUGUUUGCUCCUGGGCUUUGCCAUCCAUGCUGAGGCUGGGGAGAAGUCUGCAGCCUUCUCUAAGCAUCUCUGCAGACUUGGCUGGAGCCAGGGAGCAGUGGGGACCACCAACAUUGAGAGCAAGGUGCUUAGCAGUUAUUUCAUCCUUUGAACAUCCUUCGUGCUACCGGUGUUGUGCUGCUGUCCGUCCGUCCCUGGAGCGCUCCUGUGAGCCUGGUUCUUCGCCGCCCGUCCCCGUGUGUCGCCGCUGGUGGCACCUCGGCCAGGAGGUGUGUGAGUCGCCGAGGAGGCACCGGAGCGAUGCCUGGGGGCUGGGGGAUCCUACACCUGCUCUCAAACUUCCCUCCGCUGAUGCGGGAGGCUGCCAAAUUGCAAUUAGGCUGUCUGUGAUGCAGUCAGUGCUGGCAAACGCGUCAGGGAACGGAGUCAAAGGAUUCCCCCCAAACAAGGCUCCCUGGCUUAAAUGGGCAGCGAGAAGUGUAUUAGCACAGCAGCAAAAGGGACAUUGUGCCCUUAAAAAGUACUUCUGGAAGGUAUAUAUAAUUAUUUUUCCAAGGCACACCAUAUGAAGCACUAAAAAUAUGGCUUAGGAAAUAGAAACAACAUGUGAAGGAGAGGAGCAGGAGAAGUUUUCAGAGGAUUCAGUGCAAAAGACUACCAACAAUGCUUUUGGAAAUUAUAAUCUGAAUUAUAAGAUGAAUGAAAGAGGCUGUCUGAAAGCGAGAGCUCAGAGGUAUGGUCCAUUUUAAGUGAGAAAUCAUGAAGUAUUUAUGAAGAAAGUCAGCAAUUAUCCAAGGUCAGAGGAUAUGGCAUGAUAGGCUGCUGUCAGUACAGUUUCCAAGGAUUAAGAAGUUUUGAUACCUGUGAAAAAGUAAUGUAUUCAAGUAAACCAGAAGGUUUUCAAAUUGGAUAAUCUAUGAAUGACCUCAAGCCACCAGGAAAGCUCAGUAAGGUGUUUAGAGACCCUCCAGCAAACAGAAACACAUCCAAAAGUGCUUCUAGGGGGAAAAAAAAAUAAAUAAAUAAAGCCAGAUUUGCUAUGGCUGUUC
This 1170-nucleotide long non-coding RNA is filed under the name Anser cygnoides (Swan goose). RNAcentral describes it as "lncRNA (ENSACDG00005001028.1)". The record is from RNAcentral. Lineage: Eukaryota; Metazoa; Chordata; Aves; Anseriformes; Anatidae.